RNAcentral lists this long non-coding RNA (436 nucleotides) under Ooceraea biroi (clonal raider ant). RNAcentral describes it as "uncharacterized LOC105276632, transcript variant X2". The record is from RNAcentral. Lineage: Eukaryota; Metazoa; Arthropoda; Insecta; Hymenoptera; Formicidae.
GUAGAGUAAGGCAGAGAAAAAUAUGGUACGUAAGUUGUGCAAGGUAACAAGGUGCAAGGUUGUACAGAUGCGAAAAGUGCGUCAGAUUGAAUGGAAAUGAAUAAUAUUAAUAUAUCUCUUAAUAGUUUGUGACAUGUUUACUCAUUCGUAUCGCCAAAAAAGAUGUAUCUUAUUAAGAGACCAAUACAGAGAAAAGAAAGAUUGAAACUGAAUCCAAAAAUAAGUGUUGCUGCUAAAGCUACUCGAUUUCCUUUUCAUCAAAAACUACACUAGUUGCAUCAAAUCUCAACUAAAUGUAAUUGAUGAAGAUUAUGACCUAUGUAACCUAUGUAGCCCAGGCAGCACACAUUGGUUUCAAAACCGUUUCAUAAACGUUUUGCCGUAACGUUUCAUAACCAUUUUAUUGAAACGUUUAUUUAGGAGAAAAAUGUCCACC